RNAcentral lists this ribosomal RNA (465 nucleotides) under Vreelandella stevensii. RNAcentral's name for it is "partial 16S ribosomal RNA". It matches the Rfam family "Bacterial small subunit ribosomal RNA", at positions 338 to 795 of the family's 1533-position model. Lineage: Bacteria; Pseudomonadati; Pseudomonadota; Gammaproteobacteria; Oceanospirillales; Halomonadaceae. The record is from RNAcentral.
CCUACGGGCGGCUGCAGUGGGGAAUAUUGGACAAUGGGGGGAACCCUGAUCCAGCCAUGCCGCGUGUGUGAAGAAGGCCCUCGGGUUGUAAAGCACUUUCAGUGAGGAAGAACGCCUGGUGGUUAAUACCCAUCAGGAAAGACAUCACUCACAGAAGAAGCACCGGCUAACUCCGUGCCAGCAGCCGCGGUAAUACGGAGGGUGCGAGCGUUAAUCGGAAUUACUGGGCGUAAAGCGCGCGUAGGUGGCUUGAUAAGCCGGUUGUGAAAGCCCCGGGCUCAACCUGGGAACGGCAUCCGGAACUGUCAAGCUAGGGUGCAGGAGAGGAAGGUAGAAUUGCCGGUGUAGCGGUGAAAUGCGUAGAGAUCGGGAGGAAUACCAGUGGCGAAGGCGGCCUUCUGGACUGACACUGACACUGAGGUGCGAAAGCGUGGGUAGCAAACAGGAUUAGAUACCCUGGUAGUC